AGCGAACGCUGGCGGCAGGCCUAACACAUGCAAGUCGAACGAACUCUUCGGAGUUAGUGGCGGACGGGUGAGUAACACGUGGGAACGUGCCUUUUGGUUCGGAAUAACUCAGGGAAACUUGUGCUAAUACCGAAUGUGCCCUUCGGGGGAAAGAUUUAUCGCCAUUAGAGCGGCCCGCGUCUGAUUAGCUAGUUGGUGAGGUAACGGCUCACCAAGGCGACGAUCAGUAGCUGGUCUGAGAGGAUGACCAGCCACACUGGGACUGAGACACGGCCCAGACUCCUACGGGAGGCAGCAGUGGGGAAUCUUGCGCAAUGGGCGAAAGCUUGACGCAGCCAUGCCGCGUGAAUGAUGAAGGUCUUAGGAUUGUAAAAUUCUUUCACCGGGGACGAUAAUGACGGUACCCGGAGAAGAAGCCCCGGCUAACUUCGUG
Molecule: ribosomal RNA, 433 nt
Filed under: uncultured bacterium
Lineage: Bacteria
Description: partial 16S ribosomal RNA
Rfam family: Bacterial small subunit ribosomal RNA
Source: RNAcentral